Rhododendron vialii is the source of this 1281-nucleotide long non-coding RNA. RefSeq lists it as uncharacterized. The record is from RefSeq and is a predicted model, not a curated record. The transcript has 4 exons. NCBI's taxonomy places the organism in Eukaryota, Viridiplantae, Streptophyta, Magnoliopsida, Ericales, Ericaceae.
AAGAACACCUUUCGUUUCUGUUUAAGUAAUAGUCUUGAAUCUUGCUAUUAAGGGUUAUGCUGAUUUAGCAAAAUUCACCGUUGGCAUGAGAUCAACUUCUCGGAUAUUUACGUAGGUUGAAUCCAAAAUUCUACCAGUGCUUUCUGUGAGUGAAGAUAGUUACUGGGAUUUCUAUUAUUUACUAGAUUUUCUAGAUGAAGGAUGGAGAUCGACGUCUUUGUUUUCUAUUGGAUUGUAAGCUUUACUUCAAGAGAGGCUGAAAUUUUUAACGACUGAUGAUCAUGAUAGAAGCCCCUCAUCCUUGAAACAAACUCAGCUCUGGAAUGUAGGAGCAGGGCCUCUGUAGGCUCUAUAGAGCCCUUGCAGUCUGAGUAGAAGCAUAUUGCUUUGGGCAUUACAUGAAAGCUAUUACUACCAUUUAGAAGUGUGUUAGACACAAUCCUGCUCUCUUCCUGUGUUUUAGUUGCAACUGAUUGACGACAACUCUUCUACUUAAUGUGAACUUACAGCUUUAAAACACCUUUGCAGUGGCAUUGUGUCUAUCAUUGUAUCAUUUUUCUCUUCCAUGUAUGUCAUGAACUUCCCACAAGUUCAUUUGGUACUUCUAAGCGGAACUCAUGGAACUCUCUGUCAAACAUCUUCAAGAAUGUGGUUUCUGCAAGUCCGUCAAAGCAAUAGAGGACCAUAUUGCUAGGCAUGUACAUAUUUACCCGUGAAAUUGACGACCACCAAUUCUGACCACAAUCCAAGUAGAAGCCAUCAACUUGCGCUCAAAUUCAAAGGACUUUACCUACUCAGGUUUGACUUUGUUGAUGUCCUCCCCCAAGUUUUGAUGGACGGGGCUGUAUGUUAUCCAUCGACGGAGAUUCUUAGCGAUUAGCAUGGAGACAAGUUGAUUGUCACAUUAACAAUCAGUACAAUACUUAUUUUUGGAUGCUUGUCAAGUGCGUCAAGAGUAAAAUUGAAGCUUAGGACUACCUAAAGGAUGAAUUGGAGUCUAUCUCAACAUUGUUGGAAACUCUUAGGCUUACCUUUUCUGAGACUCUAGGGAAGUGGCCAAUGGGGAUUUGGCAUUUGGGAUCAACUUUCUUUUAAAGAGGCAGGGAAACUUGCACGUCGCAAAUGUAUUUGCUUGGGAAGAAAGUUGAUAGCUUAAAGGGCCUGAAAUAACUGCUGAGCUUAGACAUGUCUUAAAUUUGUUGACUCUUUGCUAGCACUUCUCGAAGAAACCAUUCCCGUUAGUUUUUAGAGGAGACUGGUUAUGUGAAGGAAAAUGUUUAU